CAAUAUGAACAACUUUCAUGUUCAUCAAAAUUUGAUUUGAAUCUUGGAAGGCCAUCUGUCAUUCCAAUACAUUAUAGGUCAUUUUGACUGAAACCCUAAUUUUUGGUCAACUUCCCAAGGACAUAACUCAUUCAUUUUUUAUGAUUUUGAGGUGAGAUCAAAUGUUAUGUUGAACAAAAUUUCAAAAUCUCAAAGGAAAUACCUGUGAUAAUGCAAGACAUUAUAG
Molecule: long non-coding RNA, 226 nt
Filed under: Lathyrus oleraceus (garden pea)
Lineage: Eukaryota; Viridiplantae; Streptophyta; Magnoliopsida; Fabales; Fabaceae
Description: Pisum sativum (pea) long non-coding RNA (PSAT_LNC000667)
Source: RNAcentral